Molecule: ribosomal RNA, 292 nt
Filed under: uncultured bacterium
Lineage: Bacteria
Description: partial 16S ribosomal RNA
Rfam family: Bacterial small subunit ribosomal RNA
Source: RNAcentral
GUGCCAGCUGCCGCGGUAAUACGGAGGGUGCGAGCGUUGUUCGGAAUUACUGGGCGUAAAGAGCGUGUAGGCGGUUUGGCAAGUCAGAUGUGAAAGCCCUGGGCUCAACCCAGGAAGUGCAUUUGAAGCUGCCAUCCUUGAGUAUGGGAGAGGAGAGUGGAAUUCCCAAUGUAGAGGUGAAAUUCGUAGAUAUUGGGAGGAACACCCGUGGCGAAGGCGACUCUCUGGACCAAUACUGACGCUGAGACGCGAAAGCGUGGGGAGCAAACAGGAUUAGAAACCCUGGUAGUCC